Molecule: ribosomal RNA, 469 nt
Filed under: uncultured bacterium
Lineage: Bacteria
Description: partial 16S ribosomal RNA
Rfam family: Bacterial small subunit ribosomal RNA
Source: RNAcentral
GACGAACGCUGGCGGCGUGCUUAACACAUGCAAGUCGAACGGAAAGGCCCUGCUUGCAGGGUGCUCGAGUGGCGAACGGGUGAGUAACACGUGUGUGAUCUGCCCCUUACUUUGGGAUAAGCCUGGGAAACUGGGUCUAAUACUGGAUAGGACCAUGCUGUAGGUGGUGUGGUGGAAAGAUUAGUUUCGGUAAGGGAUGAGCUCGCGGCCUAUCAGCUUGUUGGUGGGGUAAUGGCCUACCAAGGCGUCGACGGGUAGCCGGCCUGAGAGGGUGGACGGCCCCAUUGGGACUGUGAUACGGCGCAGACUCCUACGCGAGGCAGCAGUGGGGAAUAUUGUACAAUAGGCGCAAGCCUGAUGCGGCGACGCCGCGUGGGGGAUGACGGCCUUCGGGUUGUAAACUCCUUUCAGCCAUGACGAAGCCCUUGUGGUGACGGUAGUGGUAGAAGAAGCACCGGCUAACUACGUG